RNAcentral lists this transfer RNA (66 nucleotides) under Indotyphlops braminus (Brahminy blind snake). RNAcentral's name for it is "tRNA-Lys". Lineage: Eukaryota; Metazoa; Chordata; Lepidosauria; Squamata; Typhlopidae. The record is from RNAcentral.
CACCAACGAAGCUUCUAACAGCAAUAGCCUUUUAAGCUAUGGAAGGGAGCCCUAUCCCCAUGGUGA